RNAcentral lists this ribosomal RNA (513 nucleotides) under uncultured bacterium. RNAcentral's name for it is "partial 16S ribosomal RNA". It matches the Rfam family "Bacterial small subunit ribosomal RNA", at positions 28 to 507 of the family's 1533-position model. The record is from RNAcentral.
GACGAACGCUGGCGGCGUGCUUAACACAUGCAAGUCGAACGACAAGAGGGAAAGAGCUUGCUCUUUCCGGAAUUGAGUGGCAAACGGGUGAGUAACACGUAAACAACUUGUCUUCAGGGGGGGGACAACAGACGGAAAUGACUGCUAAUACCGAAUAAGCCUAAGGGUCAAAGUGGGCCAUGGACGAAAAGGGGGCGUUUACCUGUACCCAUUUGCCAGAAGAGGGGUUUGCGGCUGAAUAGCCGGUUGGGGGGGGAACGGACCACCAAGGGGACGAAUAGGAGCCGGUCUUGGGAGAAGGACGGCCACACCUGAAUCGAGACACCGUCCAGGCCCCUACGGGAGGCAGCAGGGGGGGAACUUCCGCAAAGGGCGAAAGGCUGACUGAGGAACGCCGCGGGAGUGAUGACAGCCUUCGGGUUGGAAAACUCUGUGAUCCGGGACAAAAAAGCAGAGUGCGAAGAACAAGCUGUAUUGACGGUACCGGAAAAGCAAGCCACGGCUAACUACGUG